RNAcentral lists this ribosomal RNA (454 nucleotides) under uncultured Prevotella sp. RNAcentral's name for it is "partial 16S ribosomal RNA". It matches the Rfam family "Bacterial small subunit ribosomal RNA", at positions 341 to 792 of the family's 1533-position model. Lineage: Bacteria; Pseudomonadati; Bacteroidota; Bacteroidia; Bacteroidales; Prevotellaceae. The record is from RNAcentral.
ACGGGAGGCAGCAGUGAGGAAUAUUGGUCAAUGGUCGAGAGACUGAACCAGCCAAGUAGCGUGAAGGAUGACUGCCCUACGGGUUGUAAACUUCUUUUGUUCGGGAAUAAAGUGCCGCACGUGUGCGGUUUUGUAUGUACCGUUCGAAUAAGCAUCGGCUAAUUCCGUGCCAGCAGCCGCGGUAAUACGGAAGAUGCGAGCGUUAUCCGGAUUUAUUGGGUUUAAAGGGAGCGCAGGCGGCCUUUUAAGCGUGUUGUGAAAUGUAGGGGCUCAACCUCUGCACUGCAGCGCGAACUGGAGGGCUUGAGUACGCGGGAAGUAGGCGGAAUUCGUCGUGUAGCGGUGAAAUGCUUAGAUAUGACGAAGAACUCCGAUUGCGAAGGCAGCCUACUGUAGCGCCACUGACGCUAAAGCUCGAAAGUGUGGGUAUCGAACAGGAUUAGAUACCCUGGUA